AGAGUUUGAUCCUGGCUCAGAUUGAACGCUGGCGGCAGGCCUAACACAUGCAAGUCGAGCGGUAGCACAGAGAGCUUGCUCUCGGGUGACGAGCGGCGGACGGGUGAGUAAUGUCUGGGAAACUGCCUGAUGGAGGGGGAUAACUACUGGAAACGGUAGCUAAUACCGCAUAACGUCGCAAGACCAAAGUGGGGGACCUUCGGGCCUCAUGCCAUCAGAUGUGCCCAGAUGGGAUUAGCUAGUAGGUGGGGUAAUGGCUCACCUAGGCGACGAUCCCUAGCUGGUCUGAGAGGAUGACCAGCCACACUGGAACUGAGACACGGUCCAGACUCCUACGGGAGGCAGCAGUGGGGAAUAUUGCACAAUGGGCGCAAGCCUGAUGCAGCCAUGCCGCGUGUAUGAAGAAGGCCUUCGGGUUGUAAAGUACUUUCAGCGAGGAGGAAGGCGUUAAGGUUAAUAACCUUAGCGAUUGACGUUACUCGCAGAAGAAGCACCGGCUAACUCCGUGCCAGCAGCCGCGGUAAUACGGAGGGUGCAAGCGUUAAUCGGAAUUACUGGGCGUAAAGCGCACGCAGGCGGUCUGUCAAGUCGGAUGUGAAAUCCCCGGGCUCAACCUGGGAACUGCAUUCGAAACUGGCAGGCUAGAGUCUUGUAGAGGGGGGUAGAAUUCCAGGUGUAGCGGUGAAAUGCGUAGAGAUCUGGAGGAAUACCGGUGGCGAAGGCGGCCCCCUGGACAAAGACUGACGCUCAGGUGCGAAAGCGUGGGGAGCAAACAGGAUUAGAUACCCUGGUAGUCCACGCCGUAACGAUGUCGACUUGGAGGUUGUGCCCUUGAGGCGUGGCUUCCGGAGCUAACGCGUUAAGUCGACCGCCUGGGGAGUACGGCCGCAAGGUUAAACUCAAAUGAAUUGACGGGGGCCCGCACAAGCGGUGGAGCAUGUGGUUUAAUUCGAUGCAACGCGAAGAACCUUACCUACUCUUGACAUCCAGAGAACUUAGCAGAGAUGCUUUGGUGCCUUCGGGAACUCUGAGACAGGUGCUGCAUGGCUGUCGUCAGCUCGUGUUGUGAAAUGUUGGGUUAAGUCCCGCAACGAGCGCAACCCUUAUCCUUUGUUGCCAGCGGUUAGGCCGGGAACUCAAAGGAGACUGCCAGUGAUAAACUGGAGGAAGGUGGGGAUGACGUCAAGUCAUCAUGGCCCUUACGAGUAGGGCUACACACGUGCUACAAUGGCAUAUACAAAGAGAAGCGACCUCGCGAGAGCAAGCGGACCUCAUAAAGUAUGUCGUAGUCCGGAUUGGAGUCUGCAACUCGACUCCAUGAAGUCGGAAUCGCUAGUAAUCGUAGAUCAGAAUGCUACGGUGAAUACGUUCCCGGGCCUUGUACACACCGCCCGUCACACCAUGGGAGUGGGUUGCAAAAGAAGUAGGUAGCUUAACCUUCGGGAGGGCGCUUACCACUUUGUGAUUCAUGACUGGGGUGAAGUCGUAACAAGGUAGCCG
Molecule: ribosomal RNA, 1500 nt
Filed under: uncultured bacterium
Lineage: Bacteria
Description: 16S ribosomal RNA
Rfam family: Bacterial small subunit ribosomal RNA
Source: RNAcentral